This 202-nucleotide long non-coding RNA is filed under the name Elaeis guineensis (African oil palm). RNAcentral's name for it is "long non-coding RNA (EGUI_LNC040471)". The record is from RNAcentral. Lineage: Eukaryota; Viridiplantae; Streptophyta; Magnoliopsida; Arecales; Arecaceae.
UUUUUGCCUACUUUUAAGGCUCAUGACGUUCGCUAAAUAUGACUGAUGCGAAUGGACAUAACUGAUGGGACCACUCAGAUGAUGGUCCCUUCAAGGUUUUAAUUACUUUGCAGUGGCUUUUCAUUUUCUUCCUCCUUUAAAUUUAUACUUUGAAGGCAUAGGUAGCCAUAGAUCUUCUCCCAUUAUGAUUUCUUAGGGUAGG